UGGACAGAUUACUGUAUUCGACUGUAUUCACGGUGUGAAACAGGGGAUUACACUGUUUUUAAACGGAAAGUGUAUCAAUUAACAUAAUAGACUUCU
RNAcentral lists this microRNA precursor (96 nucleotides) under Nicotiana sylvestris (wood tobacco). Its description in RNAcentral is "MIR6152 microRNA precursor family". It matches the Rfam family "MIR6152 microRNA precursor family". The record is from Rfam by way of RNAcentral. Lineage: Eukaryota; Viridiplantae; Streptophyta; Magnoliopsida; Solanales; Solanaceae.